Molecule: ribosomal RNA, 253 nt
Filed under: uncultured bacterium
Lineage: Bacteria
Description: partial 16S ribosomal RNA
Rfam family: Bacterial small subunit ribosomal RNA
Source: RNAcentral
UACGAAGGGGGCUAGCGUUGUUCGGAUUUACUGGGCGUAAAGCGCACGUAGGCGGAUCGAUCAGUCAGGGGUGAAAUCCCAGAGCUCAACUCUGGAACUGCCUUUGAUACUGUCGAUUUGGAGUAUGGAAGAGGUGAGUGGAAUUCCGAGUGUAGAGGUGAAAUUCGUAGAUAUUCGGAGGAACACCAGUGGCGAAGGCGGCUCACUGGUCCAUUACUGACGCUGAGGUGCGAAAGCGUGGGGAGCAAACAGG